CUCCCGUUAGGAGCCGGGGAGGCAAGGUCCAGCGUACGGUCCGGGGGAACCUUAACUGUCGUUUCUGUGCCUGGACAGUAGGUUGGAGAGUGGGGUCUGAAUGAGCUACAGUAGUGAACGCCGACGGCUUGUGUUGAGGGCAGGAAAGGGUGCACACAGCUCCGGCAGGUGCUUCCGCGAGAAAGGUGACUGAUACAACAACGUAGAGGACCCUGCAAUGUGGAGAGGCAUGAAACUGGAGGUCCAGUGCCGUGAGUUAACAAUCAAGACGUCCAUACAGGAGAUGCAUUGGUGGAUGGGUGAAGAGAUGAUAAAACGAGACGGGGUCUCCCUGUGUUACCCAGCCGGGUCUUGAACUGUGGAGCUCAAGUGAUCCUCCUGCCUCAGCCCCCUCAAAGUGUUGGGUUAUAGGCAUGAGCCGCUGUGCCUGGCCAAAACUAAUAUUUCUAAAAGCAAGAGCAUAGUAAACACAAAUUAAGGAAAGUGUCUGCAAAGGAGUCUGGGGAAGGGGAUAGAGAAAAGAGCCCCACGGGAGACGCCACACAUUGGGUCAUGUUCUAGUUUUCAGAUAGGAUGCAGCAUUCGCAGUGUUCAUCCUAUCACGUUGGUGUUUUGUUUUGUUUUGUUUUAGAGAGACAGGAUCUUGCUCUGUCACUCAGGCUAGAAUUAUAGGCGAGAGCCGCGCCUUGCCUGUCAUGCUUCUUAAUUUACCUGCAUGUUCAUAUAAUAUGUUGAAAUAUUAUAUUAUGUAUUAUAUAUUUUAUAUCUGUACUCCACUUUGGAUAUUAUGGCUCUAUGGCAGUUAUUUCAUACAUCAGCAUUUGCCAAAAUGUGGUCCAUUUUAGAAAUUUCCAUCAAAAUUACUUUUGAGAUCUUGUCAGAAUGCAGAUUCCUGGGUUCCAUGCUAGUUUACUAAAUCUUAAUUUCCAGAGAUUGGCUCAGGAAAUCACUUCCCAGGUGCUUUGUAUGUUGUUUAACAUGUGAAAACCACUUCCCUGGGUGUUUUAGGUUGGGAAACAGGGCUGUUUGAUCUGCUUCCUCUCACUGUUCACACUGUGCACCUCUAUUAUGGACUCAAAUAUUGCUGUUUAGGAGCUAUUUCCCUAAUUUUAUUUCACAUUUCCAAAGCUAUCUAUUUCCCUAAUUUUAUCAUUUCACAUUUCCGGAGUCUAGCUGGACGAGGUAUUGAGGAAACUUUUCUGAUCUGCUGAAACCUCAGGAUGGACAUUCAUGUUAAUGGCAAAGUGCAUUUGAGGAAGAAAGUGAGGAAAGGAGGGGGCAACAUAGCCAGCCCCAUCUAUACAAAAAUACAAAAAUUAGCCAGGUGUGGCGGUGUGCACCUGUGGUCCCAGCUACUCAGGACGCUGAGGCAAGAGGAUCACUUGAGCCCAGGGAGGUCAAGGCUGCAGUGACCCGAGAUUGCACCACUCAAAUGAUCCUCCUGCCUCAGUCUCCCAAGUAGCUGGGACUACAGGCACACUCCAUCAUGCCCAGAUAAUUUUUUUUUGGAGACCGAGUUGCUCUUGUAACCCAGGCUGGAGUGCAGUGACACUAUCUCUACCUCCCAGGUUCAAGCAAUUCUCAUGCCUCAGCCUCCCGAGUAGCUAGGAUUACAGGCGCCUGCCACCACACCCGGCUAAUUUUUUAUAUUUUUAGUAUUUAGGUUUUUGCCAUGUUGGCCAGGCUGGUCUUGAACUCCUGACCUCAGGUGAUCUGCCCGCCUCGGCCUCCCAAAGUGCUGGGAUUACGGGUAUGAGCCACUGCACCCAGCCCAUACCCAGCUAAUUUUUAAAAUUAUUUUUGAUAGAGAUGGAAUCUCACUAUGUUGCCCACACUGAUUUCAAACUCCUGGCCUCAAGUGAUCCUCCCACCUCAGCCUCCCAAAGCGCUGGGAUGACUGGUAUGAGCCCCCUGCCCAGCUUCAAAUGUCUUAAAAGCAGAAAGAAACAUUCAACUGCAGCUCUGAGACUUUGGGUCUGUGUGAAGUGAGUUCAGGUCAUGCAGGUGAACUCCUGGGGCGAGCAAAGGACAGACAGCACAGAUCAGAGUCCUGGAAGAGGGUGCUGGUGCACAGACCUCGCCUGGCCAAGGCAGAAAGGCUGAAGAAGCUGUGGCUUGCAUUUAAAUGGCACCCGUUCCCAAGGAGCUCAUUCAUCUUAUUUUGUUGACAAAUCCUCAUUUAUUCACACACAACAUCUAUAGGAUAGGGGGCAAUUGGCCUCACCUCACAAGUGAGAAGGCCAGGAGGAUGCAGAGAGGCUAAUUGCUAGUCUGAGUCACAAAAGAGUGAAUGGUCCUGAGCCAUUUGUUCUGACCCAGUCCCGAGACCUGCGUGUGGCACUGUAUCUGGGCCACAGGCCCUGUGCCUCUCCUAGGACCUCAAAACAAGAAGACAAACCUUUCUUUUCUCAGAGUGCACCUGUGCAUCUCUCUCUACUUUGGCCUGAAGCCUCACAAGCCGUUUUCACAGUCACAUUCCUCUGCACACGUAGGCGUCUGCAGUGCAACCCUUUUGAGGGAUCUGUUACUAUCACUUACCAAGAAAGAAAUGUCAGAGUCAUCCUUUGUCCCAAUUUUUACUUCUCUGUUAUUAAUUUCAGUCAUAACGAAUUCUCUUUUUAUGGUGCUUUUUCCUUAGCCUAUCUUUUUUCAUUAUUAACAACACUUUAUAAAGUCAUUAAGAGGAUGCCAUCCUAAUGCAUAGUAAGAGUAAAAUACAUCAUACAAAUUGAGUGAUUUUCGAUCUAAAGAUGUCGAUUAAAUAAUGCGUUUAGUAAUGGAAACCAUAGAGAAAUGGUCAUGCGGAUUCUCACUUUUAGGAUCUGAGCUGCUCCUCAAAGAGGGUCCCAUUUAAGUACAAAUAUGCACCAUGCUGGCUUAUGAAACAAGAAUGUUUUCCCUUUGCUAAUGAUGACUUGUCAUGUGACACACACAUUAUUUGUGUUAUUCUGGUGAGAUACUGUUUUCGGUCAUGCUCCAGAAGCAUAUUUAAAGUCUUACUCUAGAGACAGGGCUUACUCUUGGGGAGCUACCUGCUCCCGCAAGUGUCUCACAUUCUUCCUUUGUUGUUUUACAAAUGGAAAGCAGGGAGAUAAAACAUCCUAGGGUGGUACUGAGGAUGGUGGAGGAAACCCAUCUCAGACACCUUCUUCAUGCCUCAUGCCGCCCACACAUGAGAUAACUUCAGUAGAAGUGUUUUGCGUGCUGCAGAGAGCUGUAUAAAAUUACUGCACAAUGUUAAUAAUAGCAUUGAGAUUGUGUAAAAGCAAAUAAAAUAUUGCUUCUGAACAUGGGAAUGUUAAAUGUCUUUCUAAGUUAAAUCUAUCUGCUUUUGAAUAUAACUCAUCUUUUACCAUUUGUCCAUAUUACACCUUUGCUUCUAACAUUCAAACUUCCAUCUUUUUCUUUCUAACAUUGUUUUAUUUUUCUGAGUCCAAAUUGUGUGUACUGCCUGAACAUUCAUUAUUCUUACAUCCAUGCUCCCCCUAUGCCAACUCACCACCAGUUACUAGCCUGUGUCCCUUCUGCCUUUGGGCUGCCUUCCAGGGGGUGAGUGUAUUUGCUUCUCGUUAACAUUGGAUGUUCACCUAGCAAACACACGUUGAGAUAUUCCAGGCCUGGGGCUGGGCAGUCGGGGCACAAAAGUGAAUACAAGAGUGUUCCCCACUACAGGGAGUCUCAGUUGAGCAUCAACCAACAGCCCUCGGCAGCUGAUGUUAGAGCAGCCCAGUCAUGGAGCGAAUCUGCAGGAUCGAGUUAUUAAAACCUGUUCUUAUUGAAAGAAGUUAAAUUCCCCUCCCAGCGAGGGACAUGUACAAAAGCUGGUGCUGCCAUUCUAAUAACCAUGAGUUUAAUUCCUCAAAUAUUAACGGUUGAAUAAAUAAAUCUGGCCAUUUUUAUUAUAAUUUAAAAAGUAAACUAAUUUUUCAUUUUGGCUAAUGACAAACCUCAUGAAGCCAUGCCUCCAUGAGUGUCCUCAGCAUUUCCUGGGUGCUUUUUAUGAUGUGAAGCGACCUCAUGGUGGUCACCUAACAUGCCUGGAGCUUAAAGUGGAGAGAUUAACACUUCCUAAGGCACACAGCGACAUCCCCACUCCACAAUUAGCGUACUAUACAGUUGUUUCUGUUGAGACAAGAUCUCGCUUUGUUGCCCAGGCUGGAGUGCAGUGACACAAUCAUAGCUCGUCGCAGCCUUGAACUCCUGGGCUCAAGCAAUACUCCCACCUCAGCCUCCUGAGUAGCUGGGACUACAGGCAUGUGCCACCAUACUCAGCUGAUUUUUAAAUUUUUUGUACAGACAAGGUUGCACUGUGUUACCCAGGC
Molecule: long non-coding RNA, 4322 nt
Filed under: Homo sapiens (human)
Lineage: Eukaryota; Metazoa; Chordata; Mammalia; Primates; Hominidae
Description: HSALNT0344398
Source: RNAcentral